AGUUUGGGAGGCGAGGCGCCUCCUGUAGUAAAGUCUGAAAGAUGGGGGCCUUCCUGAGGGAUGAAAGCAGAGUCAUUCAUCCCAUCAUCAGCUGGAGCAGUCCGUUACCAAUUGGUUCGGCUAGUGGAGUGCUGCCACCAACCUUUACCUUGGCGGCCAUGAUUCUGCAAACCAUUCAAAUUCGAAUGCCCAGCUUUUCAAAGAUUGCAAAUGGGCCCAUGAAGAGGCCACACAUAUUUCCAAAAAGGGAAAAGUCCAAAGAUGGUUUGGAGAAUGGGGUAAACAUGUUGCUAAAGAAGGAAGAGCCCAAGGAUGGUUUGGAGCUUUUCAAAAACACAAGCUGGGGCAUGAAGGUAAAGAAGAAAGAAGUGCGGCCAUCCAACAUUUGGGUCAUUAAGUGCAAACAUCAAUGUGGCCCUUCAUUGCAUCCAAGCCAUGCAUGAAAAAGAGAGGUUUGGGAUGAUUCAAUGGCCUGGAUUGGCCAAUAUCAAACCCCAAACAUAAGGUGUGGCCCAUUUCCAUCAAAGAAAAAACUAAAACAAAAACCAAAAGCAAAAGUCUUGCUUAAGGAUUUUAUUAGAGGAGAAGGCAAGAAGAGGAAAAGGCAGAGGAAAGAGGGUAACGGGAAUCACAACCAAGUCUGAAUGCUCUUUUCCCGGUGGGUUCGAAGCUACCAGUUUCCAGACUCCGCCGCUGCACACGGCAUGAUUCACGACAACGCAAGCGACGGCUUCGACUUCUUGCAUGUGAAGGAACGUAAACGGAUGGUUUGGCUCACUUCUCUCUUAGUGGAAAGGGAUCGCGAAGAUCAGGGAAGUGUUGCGAAGAAUCUGAGCCAAACUCGGCAAGAACUCGAUCAAAACAGCGCUCGACUUCGUUGUCUUCGCUAAUGGGUUGUAAUUGUCUGAUUUUGGUUAACAGAGGGUUAUGAUUUACGUAUUGAAUGGUUCAGAUUGCUCAAAGAACCGCUCCCUUGGAUCGGGAAUUGCUGCAACGAAACCGAUUUAUCAUGCGCUUAUACUACUUUGCAGCUCUGCUGCACUUGGGUUGUCACAGCAUGGAUACAAAAAUACAUGUUUAAUCAACAGUAGGAAUGAAGAUCAA
Molecule: long non-coding RNA, 1104 nt
Organism: Magnolia sinica
Lineage: Eukaryota; Viridiplantae; Streptophyta; Magnoliopsida; Magnoliales; Magnoliaceae
Exons: 2
Source: RefSeq, a predicted model, not a curated record